AUUGAACGCUGGCGGCAGGCCUAACACAUGCAAGUCGAACGGUAACAGGAAGAAGCUUGCUUCUUUGCUGACGAGUGGCGGACGGGUGAGUAAUGUCUGGGAAACUGCCUGAUGGAGGGGGAUAACUACUGGAAACGGUAGCUAAUACCGCAUAACGUCGCAAGACCAAAAAGGGGGACCUUCGGGCCUCUUGCCAUCGGAUGUGCCCAGAUGGGAUUAGCUAGUAGGUGGGGUAACGGCUCACCUAGGCGACGAUCCCUAGCUGGUCUGAGAGGAUGACCAGCCACACUGGAACUGAGACACGGUCCAGACUCCUACGGGAGGCAGCAGUGGCGAAUAUUGCACAAUGGGCGCAAGCCUGAUGCAGCCAUGCCGCGUGUAUGAAGAAGGCCUUCGGGUUGUAAAGUACUUUCAGCGGGGAGGAAGGGAGUAAAGUUAAUACCUUUGCUCAUUGACGUUACCCGCAGAAGAAGCACCGGCUAACUCCGUG
This 490-nucleotide ribosomal RNA is filed under the name uncultured bacterium. RNAcentral's name for it is "partial 16S ribosomal RNA". It matches the Rfam family "Bacterial small subunit ribosomal RNA", at positions 30 to 507 of the family's 1533-position model. The record is from RNAcentral.